RNAcentral lists this non-coding RNA (24 nucleotides) under Cricetulus griseus (Chinese hamster). Lineage: Eukaryota; Metazoa; Chordata; Mammalia; Rodentia; Cricetidae. The record is from RNAcentral.
CAGAGACAGACGGAGAAAGCGGGA